RNAcentral lists this microRNA precursor (127 nucleotides) under Drosophila yakuba. RNAcentral describes it as "microRNA dya-mir-31b precursor". Its record names the gene dya-mir-31b. It matches the Rfam family "mir-31 microRNA precursor family". The record is from miRBase by way of RNAcentral. Lineage: Eukaryota; Metazoa; Arthropoda; Insecta; Diptera; Drosophilidae.
CAAAUAAUGAAUUUGGCAAGAUGUCGGAAUAGCUGAGAGCACAGCGGAUCGAGCCUUUGAUCGUCCGAAAAAAUGUGAAUAUUUUUUAAAAGCGGCUAUGCCUCAUCUAGUCAAUUGCAUUACUUUG